ACAAUUAAUACUGACAGACUAAUAAACAUCGUCCUGAAGGAGCUUUACAGAAAUCCAGGUAUAGAUUUUUGAUCCCUAAUGAACAAUCCAGAGGUAGCUGUGAAGAGAAGAAAUACUGCAGAAGCUUUAACUCAGAAGUGAAUCCAUCCUCAUCUGGGUGACACUGGAUAGUGCAAAUAUAAUCAUUCCAGUAUACAGGUGUAGAAGAGUAAAGAGGAACAGUACUGAGUGUGUGUACAGGAUGUUUUUUUUAGGAGAUUCAGAUUAUGAAUAAAAGUCCUGCAAUGAGCAACAAUGUGGACAGUGUUCAUGAGUACAGCAACAACUCUUAGGGACAAGUCACAGGGUACAGUAGGUUUAUCUCAACUGUAGAACAUCUACUCUAAUGACAAGGGAUUUCCCCAAUAUUUAAUGAACGUUACAAACAUAAUGUAAGGAAAUAUCAUUUAAGUACAACAACAGAAACUUUGUUCAUGUGGUUCUUUGUUCACAUUUCUACAGCAUUAGGAAGAUGUCCUUUGUACCAUUUAUGCUGCGUGAAGACUACACGAUAUGCCACUAAAACCACAAGAUACGAUACAAUACAAUUUACAAUUCAUAAUUUGUUAUUUGACAAUACUGACUCUGCUAAGUUAUGAUACAAUAUGAUACCAUACGUUAUGAUACUAUACAAUACAAUAUAAUCUAAUAAAAUACAACAUUAAAUUAUACAAUACAAUAUGAUACAAUGCGAUACCAUAAUAUACGAUACAAUAUGAUACGAUACAAUACAAUAUGAUACAAUACGUUACAAUACAAUACGAUACAAUAUGAUGCAAUACAAUAAAAUACGAUACAAUACGUUUUGAUACAAUACGAUACAAUAUGAUACAAUACAAUACGAUACGUUAUGAUACAAUACGUUUUGAUACAAUACGUUACGUUAUGAUACAAUACGUUUUGAUACAAUACGAUACAAUAUGAUACGAUACGUUAUGAUACAGUACAACACAAUAUGUUAUGAAACAAUGCAAAUUGAUACAAUGUGAAAAUAUGAUACUAUACUAUAUAAUACAAUAUGCUAUGACACAAUACAAUAUCAUAAUUCAUGAUACAAUACGAUAAGUCACAAUAUGAUGUGAUACGAUACAAUUUAAUUUGUGCAGCGUGUUUAACAGUGGACGUUGUCCCAGAGCAGCGGUACGGAAAUAUUUACACUCAGGAUAGAGAUGUUAAAUGUAUGAAUUUAUCCCUAAUGAGCAGCCAGAGGCGACGGUGGUGAGGAAAAACUCCCCGAGACGAUAUGAGGAAGAAACCUCGAGAGGAACCGGACUCAGAAGAGAACCCGUCCUCAUCUGGGUGACACCGGAUAGUGCGAUUAUAAAUAAAUACACCCCUUCUGUAAAUGUGCUAAUACUACAUGCUGAUAUAGUGCAGUUGUGUAAGCAGGAACUUCAUUACAGUUUCUACAGGAAGUCUGUUUUGAACUUCUCCACUGAUCACUGAUGGAGACUCGAGUGCAGAACUGUUUGUAGUAACUGUAAAGCCAUCUUUAUGGUUUUUAAGUGGUACCGUCCUCACUAAUUUCAAUGAUCAUUAGUCUGCACCAUGUGGGGACAUCCUCAUCAGCAGCAUGUGACUUCCAACUGAUGAGAACUCCAAACAGAAGGAGGUCAUCAGGAUUGGGCAGAAGGGGUUAAGUCACUGGUACAGUGUGAUACUAUACAGUAGAAUACGGUCUGAUGAGAUACAAUAUGGUUUAAUAUCUGCUGAUACUAAAGUAGGCUUUAGUAAGUAGGCUUACCAUCGUGAAUGAUGAUGAUGUAGAGAAGGAAAAUUAUAAAUGUAUCAGAGUGCUGGCCUGUUCAAUUAUUUACACAGCAGUUGUCUUUCCUUUUUUUCGAUAAUAAUUGAUUUACGAUAGUUGCAUCGAGUCAUUUACAUGACAGGAGACGACUCUCCGUCAUGGAGCUGCUCACAUGACACAAUUUAUCUCUGGGAAAUAUCAGACAAUCUGCGACCGCUCAGAGAAAAUCACAUCACUGAUACUGAUACUGAUCAGAAGGUCAGGGGUUCCAGCCGCAGCACCGCCAAAUUGCCACAGCCCUUAACCGUCUCUGCUCCAGGGUGCUGUGUCAUGGCUGACUCUGACCUCUGACCCCGAAUUCCUAACAAGCCGAGAUACGUGAAGGAAAGAAUUUGACUGUGCCGCAAUGUAUACGUGACACAUAAAGACUUUCUUUUUCUCCAUGUUAAGCUCUGUUCUGUUACCACACAAUUUGCCACUGAUCCCCAAAAAUGAAUCAUAAAAUAACCCUAAUGUUCUAGAUCAUUCUACACUUCCUUACACUAGUUCCUCAUAUCCAGAACACAGUUAACAGUGUGCACUGCAGCGACACAUACUCCUGUGUCUCUUUAUAAAUUCACGCUGACUAACAAAGUGUGAAGGUGUAAAUGUCAGAUUUAUGCUCCAUCAGCCAUGAUAAAGACCACGAGUGUGUGUGUGUGUGUGUGUGUGUGUGUGUGUGUGCGUGUGCGUGUGCGUGCGUGUCUUGGUGUGGGAAAGAAGCAGCUAAAUCUUGCUGUUCCCACAGGAAGUCUCCAACCUCACUACCUGUCAGAGCUCACAAUGCCGUCUUGUGUCUGCUGUGACAGAGUGACGUCUGAUAGACAGGAACAUGACACACUCAGGGAACUUCUCUCCUGUGGCUCGGACUAAUCCCAGCUUCUGCUCCGUCAGUGUUUAUCGUUUUAAGAAUGGAUGAAUCUCCAUAUUACCUCGUGCUCGCUUUGAAGAAUGUUUGUGAGAAAUGUUAGCGAGCCUGUUUUCGGCAAGAACCGAUUUCUGGUUAGUGCUGAUUGAUGACGCAAUUAGAAUGUAGCCACACACACACACACACAAACACACACACACACACACACACACACACACACAC
This is a long non-coding RNA of Ictalurus punctatus (channel catfish), 2915 nucleotides long. The record is from Ensembl. NCBI's taxonomy places the organism in Eukaryota, Metazoa, Chordata, Actinopteri, Siluriformes, Ictaluridae.